AUUGAACGCUGGCGGCAGGCCUAACACAUGCAAGUCGAGCGGAUGAAGGGAGCUUGCUCCUGGAUUCAGCGGCGGACGGGUGAGUAAUGCCUAGGAAUCUGCCUGGUAGUGGGGGAUAACGUCCGGAAACGGGCGCUAAUACCGCAUACGUCCUGAGGGAGAAAGUGGGGGAUCUUCGGACCUCACGCUAUCAGAUGAGCCUAGGUCGGAUUAGCUAGUUGGUGGGGUAAAGGCCUACCAAGGCGACGAUCCGUAACUGGUCUGAGAGGAUGAUCAGUCACACUGGAACUGAGGCACGGUCCAGACUCCUACGGGAGGCAGCAGUGGGGAAUAUUGGACAAUGGGCGAAAGCCUGAUCCAGCCAUGCCGCGUGUGUGAAGAAGGUCUUCGGAUUGUAAAGCACUUUAAGUUGGGAGGAAGGGCAGUAAGUUAAUACCUUGCUGUUUUGACGUUACAAACAGAAUAAGAACCGGCUAACUUCGUG
RNAcentral lists this ribosomal RNA (484 nucleotides) under uncultured bacterium. Its description in RNAcentral is "partial 16S ribosomal RNA". It matches the Rfam family "Bacterial small subunit ribosomal RNA", at positions 30 to 507 of the family's 1533-position model. The record is from RNAcentral.